Molecule: ribosomal RNA, 467 nt
Filed under: uncultured bacterium
Lineage: Bacteria
Description: partial 16S ribosomal RNA
Rfam family: Bacterial small subunit ribosomal RNA
Source: RNAcentral
ACGAACGCUGGCGGCGCGCCUAACACAUGCAAGUCGAACGGAGCUGAGAGAAGCUUGCUUUUCUUAGCUUAGUGGCGAACGGGUGAGUAACGCGUGAGUAACCUGCCCUGGAGUGGGGGACAACAGUUGGAAACGACUGCUAAUACCGCAUAAGCCCACGAUCCGGCAUCGGAUUGAGGGAAAAGGAUUUAUUCGCUUCAGGGUGGACUCGCGUCCAAUUAGCUAGUUGGUGAGGUAACGGCCCACCAAGGCGACGAUUGGUAGCCGGACUGAGAGGUUGAACGGCCACAUUGGGACUGAGACACGGCCCAGACUCCUACGGGAGGCAGCAGUGGGGGAUAUUGCACAAUGGGGGAAACCCUGAUGCAGCGACGCCGCGUGGAGGAAGAAGGUUUUCGGAUUGUAAACUCCUGUCGUUAGGGACGAUAAUGACGGUACCUAACAAGAAAGCACCGGCUAACUACGUG